RNAcentral lists this ribosomal RNA (253 nucleotides) under uncultured bacterium. RNAcentral's name for it is "partial 16S ribosomal RNA". It matches the Rfam family "Bacterial small subunit ribosomal RNA", at positions 524 to 776 of the family's 1533-position model. The record is from RNAcentral.
UACGUAGGUGACAAGCGUUGUCCGGAUUUACUGGGCGUAAAGAGCGCGCAGGCGGUCGAUCAAGUCGAGUGUGAAAGCCCCCGGCUCAACUGGGGAGGGUCAUUCGAUACUGAUCGACUCGAAGGCAGGAGAGGGUAGUGGAAUUCCCGGUGUAGUGGUGAAAUGCGCAGAUAUCAGGAAGAACACCCGUGGCGAAGGCGGUUCUCUGGAACGCAACUGACGCUGAGACGCGAAAGCGUGGGGAGCAAACAGG